RNAcentral lists this small RNA (589 nucleotides) under uncultured fungus. Its description in RNAcentral is "eukaryotic LSU rRNA". The stretch from base 212 to 365 matches the Rfam family "5.8S ribosomal RNA". Lineage: Eukaryota; Fungi. The record is from RNAcentral.
AAGUCGUAACAAGGUUUCCGUAGGUGAACCUGCGGAAGGAUCAUUAUUGAAAUAAACCUGAUGGGUUGUUGCUGGUUCUCUAGGGAGCAUGUGCACACCUUGCCAUCUUUAUAUCUCCACCUGUGCACCUUUUGCAGACCUUUCAGGUCUAUGUUGCUUAAUUUACCCCCAAUGUAUGUUAAUAGAAUGUUGUGCCUAUAAUAAUAUAUACAACUUUCAGCAACGGAUCUCUUGGCUCUCGCAUCGAUGAAGAACGCAGCGAAAUGCGAUAAGUAAUGUGAAUUGCAGAAUUCAGUGAAUCAUCGAAUCUUUGAACGCACCUUGCGCUCCUUGGUAUUCCGAGGAGCAUGCCUGUUUGAGUGUCAUUAAUAUAUCAACCCUCUCUUCUUGAGUGGUUUGGAUGUGGGGGUUUGCUGGCCUCUUAAAAGGUUUUAGCUCUCCUGAAAUGCAUUAGCGGAACAACCCUGUUCAUUGGUGUGAUAACUAUCUACGCUAUUGAAUGUGAAGGGCAGUUUGGCUUUCUAACAGUCCUUGGACAGCUCAUCAUUAAUGUGACCUCAAAUCAGGUAGGACUACCCGCUGAACUUAA